CCUACGGGGGGCAGCAGUGGGGAAUAUUGCGCAAUGGGCGAAAGCCUGACGCAGCGACGCCGCGUGAGGGAUGAAGGUCUUCGGAUCGUAAACCUCUGUCAGCAGGGAAGAACGGUCACUGUGCUAAUCAGCAGUGAAUUGACGGUACCUGCAAAGGAAGCACCGGCUAACUCCGUGCCAGCAGCCGCGGUAAUACGGAGGGUGCGAGCGUUAAUCGGAAUUACUGGGCGUAAAGCGCUCGUAGGCGGUAUGUCAAGUCAAGGGUGAAAGCCCCGCGCUCAACGUGGGAACUGCCUUUGAAACGGGCAAACUGGAGUGUGUGAGAGGAUAGUGGAAUUCCAGGUGUAGGAGUGAAAUCCGUAGAUAUCUGGAGGAACAUCAGUGGCGAAGGCGACUAUCUGGCACAUAACUGACGCUGAGGAGCGAAAGCGUGGGUAGCAAACAGGAUUAGAUACCCGAGUAGUC
Molecule: ribosomal RNA, 465 nt
Filed under: uncultured bacterium
Lineage: Bacteria
Description: partial 16S ribosomal RNA
Rfam family: Bacterial small subunit ribosomal RNA
Source: RNAcentral